Molecule: long non-coding RNA, 662 nt
Organism: Dermochelys coriacea (leatherback sea turtle)
Lineage: Eukaryota; Metazoa; Chordata; Testudines; Dermochelyidae
Exons: 2
Source: RefSeq, a predicted model, not a curated record
CCUUUCAAAACUAAAAUAGCCAUUUUAAUUACUUUUUUUGUAAUUAGCAGCUUGAAAUACUUUCCAUUAAAAGAAAAGGGAAAAUUAACGAAGUGCACAUAUAAUCGUAUCCAAACCUUUGGAUUUUUAACCAACGGAUGUGAAGAGAGGUGUGUGCACGCACAUGCGCAUUCGUUCAUUGUGCUCAGUUCUUUGAUUUGGGCCAGAUCCUGUUCUCAUUUCUUCCCUUGCAACCUCACUGACAUCACUAGAGGUGUAUGAGAGGAAUUGAGGACCAAGCAGAGGCCCUGCCAGCAUUGGGAUCAGAACCACACUAGCUAGAAUUGUGAUAAAAACAGAAUAUUUCUAGCAGAAUUCUGGCAUUUUUCCCCUGCGAACCCACGGACGCGGCAGGUUCUCUUAUUGUCUCAUAUACCAAUUAAUGUGGCUGGACUACACUUCUCAUCUAGCAAAUGGACCACAAGAUACUUACCUGACAUUUUCAAAGAGAGCCACAUAAUUCCCACUGACCACAGAAAGUUGAAAAUUUACUCUAAAUGUGGAGGUUAGGAUUCAAGUUAAUUUUAACAUUCAAAUGAGCAGUUGAGGCCUUUGAGGUAUGCCCAUCACUAAUCAAUACCCUUACUGGUAGGAGAAAAUAAAUGGGAUCAGGAGUUUCAGUC